This 497-nucleotide ribosomal RNA is filed under the name uncultured bacterium. RNAcentral describes it as "partial 16S ribosomal RNA". It matches the Rfam family "Bacterial small subunit ribosomal RNA", at positions 28 to 507 of the family's 1533-position model. The record is from RNAcentral.
GAUGAACGCUGGCGGCGUGCCUAAUACAUGCAAGUCGAGCGAACGGACGAGAAGCUUGCUUCUCUGAUGUUAGCGGCGGACGGGUGAGUAACACGUGGAUAACCUACCUAUAAGACUGGGAUAACUUCGGGAAACCGGAGCUAAUACCGGAUAAUAUUUUGAACCGCAUGGUUCAAAAGUGAAAGACGGUCUUGCUGUCACUUAUAGAUGGAUCCGCGCUGCAUUAGCUAGUUGGUAAGGUAACGGCUUACCAAGGCAACGAUGCAUAGCCGACCUGAGAGGGUGAUCGGCCACACUGGAACUGAGACACGGUCCAGACUCCUACGGGAGGCAGCAGUAGGGAAUCUUCCGCAAUGGGCGAAAGCCUGAAGGAGCAACGCAGCGUGAGUGAUGAAGGUCUUCGGAUCGUAAAACUCUGUUAUUAGGGAAGAACAUAUGUGUAAGUAACUGUGCACAUCUUGACGGUACCUAAUCAGAAAGCCACGGCUAACUACGUG